GAAGGGCACCACCAGGAGUGGAGCCUGCGGCUUAAUCUGACUCAACACGGGAAAACUUACCAGGUCCAGACAUAGUGAGGNUUGACAGAUUGAGAGCUCUUUCUUGAUUCUAUGGGUGGUGGCGCAUGGGCCGUUCUUAGUUGGUGGAGUGAUUUGUCUGGUUAAUUCCGUUAANGAACGAGACCCCCGCCUGCUAAAUAGUUAAAUCAAUGCUUUGCAUUGAUCNUAGCUUNUUAGAGGGACUUUUGGUGACUAACCAAAGGAAGUUGGGGGCAAUAACAGGUCUGUGAUGCCCUUAGAUGUCCUGGGCCGCACGCGCGCUACACUGACACACGCAACGAGUUUUUCCUUGUCCGAAAGGUCCGGGUAAUCUUUGANAUGUGUGUCGUGAUUGGGAUAGAUUAUUGCAAUUAUUAAUCUUGAACGAGGAAUUCCUAGAAAUGCGAGUCAUCAGCUCGCGUUAUACGCCC
RNAcentral lists this ribosomal RNA (470 nucleotides) under uncultured eukaryote. RNAcentral describes it as "SSU rRNA". It matches the Rfam family "Eukaryotic small subunit ribosomal RNA", at positions 1159 to 1652 of the family's 1831-position model. The record is from RNAcentral.